Molecule: long non-coding RNA, 537 nt
Organism: Pelmatolapia mariae (spotted tilapia)
Lineage: Eukaryota; Metazoa; Chordata; Actinopteri; Cichliformes; Cichlidae
Exons: 2
Source: RefSeq, a predicted model, not a curated record
AUUUAUUCAGAUGUUUUAUAAACACAACAAAUAAGAAGAUUUUAUUUAUUCCUCAGUCAGACACUUUCAUUAAAAACAAGUCCAAACCAUCUUCCUGCAUUUGGUUUGCGGGCCUCAAACACUUCUUUGUGCUGUCCACUGGGGGGCGCUGUUCACCUGCAAACAUCAGCUGGUGAACUGCUUGGCUCAGAGCAGAAACAGUUCCUGUGACUUCUCCACCCUCCAUCACAGUCAGAACAUCUGAUGCGAAAUAAACCCGACACCACAAACCAUGAAAAGAUCUGCAGAUCACGUUUCCCUCACCUGCCAGGCGAUAGCAGCGAUAACCAGCAGCACAGAGCCACACCUGUGGGGCCGACCAACAGCCAUGACCCGAAGACCCCCAAAGAGAGCGGCUGAGACCAAAACCUCGUCAGGAAAAGCUUAUAUCAGACUGUUUAUACUUCCUGUUUAUCCAAGCUGGUACCUGGAUGCUAACAGGUGAGCGGCUACUUCCUGCUGAAACUCUGCCCCCUGGUGGUGGGAGUGUACAAAAAG